CAUAAAGUGCAACCGCACGAAGUUUCGUAAUAAGUGGCGUAAGCCCACGAACAAAGGCGAGUCUAACAGUCGCU
Molecule: regulatory RNA element, 74 nt
Organism: Lactococcus lactis
Lineage: Bacteria; Bacillati; Bacillota; Bacilli; Lactobacillales; Streptococcaceae
Source: Rfam